Molecule: long non-coding RNA, 16417 nt
Organism: Loxodonta africana (African savanna elephant)
Lineage: Eukaryota; Metazoa; Chordata; Mammalia; Proboscidea; Elephantidae
Exons: 3
Source: RefSeq, a predicted model, not a curated record
AAACGGUAGUAGUGCAGUUCCUCGUAGCUUGAAUACGUCAUAAGUCGGGGACGACCUGUAUUUGGUUAAGCUUUUCCUAAGGCAACUCAGAGUCUGACUCUUUGGAGCCACUUUUUGCCUCCGAGGUGCUAACGUUCCGGCUUUAACACAACGGUGUCGUCCUCCGCACCAGUCGGGAGGGGUGAUGAUGCUAUUGAACACCCAGGCAGUGACAGCUACGUCACAAUGACUGCCGGGUUGGCGACCAUCAUAAGGUGUCAACUAUCAGCUCGAACGCUUCCUGAUUUCAGAGAUGUUAAAAUGUGAAAGAAAAAAGUUCACCUCACAAGCAAUGAAAAAUAUGCGCUUCCUGAGCGACCACACCGCAUGGCCAGAGGGGGAGCAGAGCGGCAGCAGAGACAGCCUGGCCCCGUGUUACGGAUCGAAUUAAAACCGAAACGACUGAACAAACAAAGCCACGGCCAUGGAGUCAGUUCCGACUCCUGACGACCCCAUGUGUUGCACAGUGGAACUACUCCGUAGGGUUUUCUUGACUGUAAUCUUCGCAGAAGAAAAUCGCUGGACCUUUCUUCUGUAGCGCUGUUGGGUAGGUUCAAACCGACAACCUUUAGGUUAGUACGCCAUUGGCCAUUGCCGUCGCUUGGAUACUGACUUAUAGCGAUCCUUCAUGUUGAGAACGCUCCCAGACCUUGCUCUGUGAGUCUCUUAUUUGUAUUCUUUUUGCUGUAGUAAAACUCUAAUUGUAAGUCUAACGUUUUAUGCAAGUACUGUGAAUUCUAGCACAUUAUUGAACCCAAGGGAGUAGCCUGAGCCGGCAGAUCAGAAGUGAGGAGGCGUGGGGACCUCAGAUCUCAGGACUCGUAACCUGAGGGGAUGGAUGGAACUCCCGAAUUUGUAGCCAGCAGGUCAGAAGUGGGAUUGUCACGCAGACCUCCAAGCUUUUGGCUGGCAUCUAAGGUCUUGGGCAGACUUGGCAGUCUGAAGGAUUGUGUCCUUUAACUUGUGAGAUGUGACCUAGCUCUGGGUGGUUAGUGUCAGAGCAAGAAGACCUGCUUGUGAAGCUGGUGUCAGAACAGAAGUGACAGAGACCUUACAGGACACAAGAGAAAUGUGAAACAAUUCACAUUCUUAAGAAGUCCAGAAUUGCAGCACCAGUUGAGACUAGACCACUCCUUGAUACUAUCGCCUUGAGAUACUCUUUAAACCUUGAACCAAAAUUAUCCCUUAAGGCCACCUUUUAGCUAAAUAACGGAUUGGCUCAUAAAAUAAAGAACAUCACCCAUGAAUAAUGAGCUCCUUUUUUUUUUUUUUUUUAAAUCAUCUAAUGGUCAACAAUUACUCUAAAUUGAAGAUGAGAAGGUAAGGGGACAGGGAAGGUGGAGUGCUGGAAAUGCUAACAACCAGAAGGGAAUGAAUGUGAAUAACGAUACAUUGUGAAAAGUGUAACCAAUAUCACUGAAUAAUUCGUGUAGAAUCAGUUAAUGGGAACCUAAACUGCUGUGUAAACUUUCACCUUAAACACAAUAAUGUUAAUUUAAAAACAAAACAAAAAGAAAUGAGAGAAGUGGGGAUUUGAUACUUUUCCACUCACCUUCCUUCCAGUCCUUUGCUUCCUCUUCUUCCUACUAUUUCUCCUGCCCAAUCCUAAUCUUUCUCCCUUCCUCCUCCUUCCUCCUUGUCCUUUCUCUCUGUGUCUCUUGAAAUCAUAAAGCACUUACCCAGGAAUAUCUAUACUUGCAGUGCAGUGAAUUACUUAAUAUGGGCCUGAUAGCCAUUGUCUUUGUGACUCCCACACAAUGAUUGGGUGGGACUAUGCAAAUAAGGUGCUUGUGGUCCACUACAGGGAUUGGGCAGCUUGCUGCUAAUGCAAAUAAGGUGUAUGGAAUCUCUGAUGGUUAAGGUUAUGUAUCAACUUGGCUGGGCCAUGAUUUUGGUGGUUUGGCAGUCAUAUAAUAAUGUAAUUUGGCAGUUAUGUAAUGAUGUAGUCAUCCUCCAUUUUGUGGUCUGAUGUAAUUGUCCCCCAUUUUGCCAUCUGUGUAAUUAUCCUCCAUUUUGUGAUGUAUUAUAAAUUCUAGCCUCAAUUCCUGUGGUUAUGGUCCCAUUUAGAAGUCAGCUGUCCAUUAUGUUAAUGAGGCAGGAUUAGAGUGGGAUGUAUCUUGAGUCACCACCAUAAUAGAGGGUGUGACUCAAGUCACAACCCUUCCCCAGUCACCAUCUUUAUUCAAGUCACAUUCUUGCACUGACUUGUUCAAGUAAGAGAAAUUUCCUUGAGGGUAUGAUCUACAUCCAAUAUAUAUAUGAAUGUGCGGGAGAAGCUCUCUUUCUCUUGGUCUAGAUCUUGCAUCCGGCUCGUCACCAUCUGACCUCUUGUUCUUGGAACUUGAGCCAGCAGCCUAUCACCUGACUUAAUUCGCCACCUUUGCAGCCUUGUGAGCCAGUAGCCUGUCAUCUGACCUGCCAGUUUGAGUUCAUCAGCCCCUGCAACCACAUGAGUCAGGAGAAGACUCCACCCUGAUGCCUGACCCACAGAUUUGGGACUUGCCAGCCUCCACAACUGUGAGAGCCAUUCCUUGAUGGUUUGUGAGUUCUGUGAGAUUUUGCAGUAAAUUAUGAAACCCAAAGAUGGGAGGGAGAGUACUGAGGGGAGGAGGAGUAGUUGAUGUUAGGUAUGAUGGAGUGGUACAACAGUUUGGAAAAGCUGGACAUUCGGGACAUCUUUAAUCUUCACGUCAUAGGAACCAGCUUUGGGCUGAUCCUUCUAAAAAGAAAUUAUUUUUUCAACACAUCAUGGCCUUCAUCCUCUCACCAUUCUCCAUAACUCUAGGUAAACCUAAACUUAAAAACUCAUUGCCAUUGAGUCAAUUCCAACUCAUAGCGACCCUAUAGGACAGAGUAGAACUGCUCCAUAGGGUUUCCAAGGCUGUACUCUUUACAGAAGCAGACUGCCUCAUCUUUCUCCUGGAGAGUGGCUGGUGGGUUGUAACUGCUAACCUUCAGGUUGAUAGCCGAGCACUUAACCACUGAACCACCAGGGCUCCUUAAACCUAAACUUAGUCCCCAAGAAUUCAUUCAUUCAUUCAUUUAAAUAUUUAUUGUAUGCCUUCUCUGUGCUAGGCACAGUUCUAGGCACUGAUACUGUGGUGAAUAAGACAUAGUUGUUGUCCUCAUGGGGCUUAUAUAUAUAUAUUUUAGAGAGACCAAGGAGUAGGAGGGAGGGGGAAAGGGGGCCGUUGCCUGUGGAGUACUGAGCUGCAGUCCACGGUGAUGGGAAGAUCGCGUUGACUGAGGGUAGGGUUGCGCAGCUGAUCGGCGCAGUUGCUGUCAAUAAGUUGCACACUUGGGAAGAGCUGAUGGUUCCCUCUGGACUUCAGCCACACCAGCAACUGCUCCUGGAGGGUAUGCAAUCCUCCGAGCUGUGGGCUUCCUCUCGCGCUGCGCCCUGUGUACCUGGAGGUUGUGCUUUCUCCUUUUCCUGAGGCCCAUCCAGUUCUGCAGUGGAGUCCACCUCUGUUUCCUGAACUGGGACUGAGAUAGGUUUCUUCUCAGCUGUGGCAGCUGCUAUAGCUUUUGCCUCUUCUUCUUUCUCCUGAUUUUCUUUUCAAGUUCCUUUCUCCUCUUCUCAUUAUCCUGACAGGACACGUGGUCAAAAGGUUUUGAAUACCUGCAACACCAAAGCCUGAGCUAUACCCCGGUACAGUUAGACAGGUGGCACAGCAGGUGGUAGGAGUCGGUCUUAGAGUAGAGGAAACUGAACAGCUUGUGCAGAAAAGUCCUAGACGUUGCCCACAGGCUGCAAGAUGCCCAGUGGGUCUGUUUUAACAACUCGCUGACCCAGACUCCACGUUGACUGGCCAGCCCAGGAGGAAAACUCAUUGUUAAAAUAAAAAUCAUAUUAAGCCAAUAAUAGAAAUUGAAGUUUAUUUGAUAUACGAUUUGCAAACCGGGGUAACAUUUUGACUAGAGAGUCAAAAAUGUUCUAAAGAUGAGCAGCGUCUUAGCUAUCUAGUGCUGCUAUAACAGAAAUACAAGUGGAUGGCUUUAACAAAGAGAAAUUUAUUCUUUCACAGUCUAGUAGGCUAGAAGUCCAAAUUUAGGGUGCCAGCUCCAGGAGAAGGCUUUCUCUCUCUGUCGGCUCUGGGAGAAGGUUUUUCUCAUCAAUCUUCCCCUGGUUGAGGAGCUUCUCCGUGCAGGGACCCAGGGACCAAAGAUGCACUAUUCUCCUGGCUCUUGUUUCUUGGUGAAAUGAGGUCCCCCUGUCUCCCUGCUUGCUUCUCUCUUUUAUAUCUCAAGAGAGAUUGACUUAAGACAAAACCUAAUCUUAUAGACUGACUUCUGCCUUGUUAAUGUAACUGCCUGUAACCUUGCCUCAUUAACAUCAUAAGGUAGGAUUUACAACACUUGGGAAAAUCACAUCAGGUGACAAAAUGAUGGAAAAUCACACAACACUGGGAAUCACGGCCUAGCCAAGUUGACACGCAUUUUGGGGGGACGCAGGUCAAUCCACUAGAAGAACUUCCAGAAUUCUUUUACCAAAUUUUAUCGGCAUUGCCAUGGAAAUGGUGAGGGAAGCAGAACAGUGUUUACAUAAUAACAGUUUACCCUAAAACACAGCUUCCAGUCAGGCCCUGGAGUUCCUGUUUCUGGAACCCUCCUACACAUAAUUUUCUAAAAGUGCCCAAUGCCUAAGGCAAAACAGUCUCCACUAAGCUGUAUACUAGGCUAUUAUUUGACUUAAAGGUGACUUUUAGGAACCCAGUUUCUUCCAGGCUAACAGUUCAAAAGGACACCUAAGGGCAAAUGGUCUGGGUGGGGGUUGCCUCAACUCCAUGAACCCCAGAAAUCUGGAUUCCAGGAGAAUUAAAAUGGUUUCUCACUACGCGCUGCUGGAGGAUGGUGUGGAGCAACUCCGGGGCUUAUAUUCUUUGCAGAGAUUCAGAUAAUAAACGGAAGUAAGAAAAAAAGAAGAAAAAGGAAGUAAGGGUAAAGGGACUUGGUGGAGUUGGUAAAAAACAAAAAAAGCCCAAACGCAUUGCCUUGGAGUCACUUCUGACUCAUGGCGAUGCCCUCUGUUGCAGAGUAGAACUGUGCUCCAUGGGGUUUUCUUGGCUGUAAUAUUUACGGAAGCAGAUGGCCAGGGCUUUUUUCACACUGCUGCUAGGUGUGUGGAAACCCUGGUGGCGUAGUGGUUAAGUGCUAUGGCUGCUAAUCAAGAGUUCCGCAGUUCGAAUCCUCCAGGUGCUCCUUGGAAACUCUUUGGGGCAGCUCUACUCUGCUCUAUACGGUCGCUAUGAGUCAGAAUCGACUCAAUGGCAGUGGGUUUUGCUAGGUGUGUUGGAAUCACCAACCUUUAGGUAGUAAAGCACAAACCAUUUGCACUACUCAGGGACCUUGGGGAUUACCAAAAAUAUGGCCGCCCACAUCUCCUCCCAUCCCUGUACGCACACCCUGCUCUGUCCAUCAAGAAGUAGAGCCUCUUUCCCUUCUUUGAAUCCGCGCUGGCCUGCCUCGUGACUGGCUUUGAUUAAUAGAAUGUGGAGAGGUGACGUCCUGAGGCUUCUGAGCUCAGGCUUUGAGAGGUGGCAGCUUCUGCUUUCUCCUUCUUGAAGCCCUUAUCUACCACAUAGAGAGGUCCCACUGCCCUGCUCCCCGCUGGACCCCUGUAGAAAGAGAGGGGCUGCAAUACCACUUUCUUUAAAUGCUGUCUUGACACAGCUUCGAGGCCCUGGCUGGACGCCAGUCUGUUUCCCUUCUUGAACAGCUGAUUAAGUCCAUUCUCCAACUACCCCUCUUACCAGAUUCUCACACUUCUGGGUCACGAUACACCCCUCCUAGUUACCCAGAGCCAGGUACCCAACAAUUAGGGACAGUCCCUAUGCCCCCUGAGCGUGCAGAAUUAUUCAAUCCCCAAUCCCCAGGAGAGCUGUGCAACCUAGCUAACCCCAUUCUGCUUGGCACACAUAAGCCUCUUGUACAACUCCAACUUAUUGUUACCUUGUCCUGAGUGCAGCCCCUGUGUGGCCCUGCAUUGUGGAAUGCUGUGACUCCCAGUCUCUGGAAACUGUGAGUCUGAUAAACCUAGGUCCCCAGGUGGCACAAGUGGUUUGCUCUUAACUGUGAACGUAAAGGUUGGCAGAAUGAGCGCACUGAGUGGUACUGUGGAAGAUAGGCCUGGCGAUCUGCUUCUGUUAAAAUUACAGCCAAGAACACCACAUGGGGUUGCCAUGACUUAAAAUCGACUUAACGGGAACUAACAACAACAAGUUACUUUUAUAUAGAUGAUUUUCAAAAGAAGCACAGUACUCAUGGGUGAUAGUCUUUAUUUUGUGAGCCAGUCUGUUUUUUAGCUAACAGGUGACCUCAGGGGCUUAUUUAACUUCAAAGUUUAAAGAGCAUCUCAGGGCAAUAGUCUCAGAGAGUCCUCCAGUCUCGAACAGUCAAGUAACCUGGGUUUUUUAAGAAUUUGAGGUUCUGUUCCACAUUUUUCUCCCAUUCUAUCCGAAUCCAUCUCUUGUGGCCCUGGUCAGAACCGUAGUUAGUGGUAGCCAGGCACCAUCUAGUUCUUCUGGUCUCAAGGUAGAUGAGGCCAUGGUUCAUAUAGACUAUUGUCCCAUAGACUAGUUUCUUCUUUGAGUCUUUGGUAACAACAAGUUACUUUUCAUGGCUUCCUUCGCUCUUUUUCCUCUCACGACACCUGACAUAUCCUUCCACAAAUCUGUUAUAGAGCAGAGGCCACAUGGAGAUGAGCCUGAAACCAUUUAGAACAUUCCAGCCCCACCUACCCCUUGACCCCUACCUUCAGGAUUUCAUACUUUUAAUUUUUAACUGGAGCUUUCCAUUUCAUUCCAUUAUACAUUUUAUUUAAAUGCAUUAAAGGGGCAGAUCAUCCAAGCUUUUAAAAUUUACUCUAAAUUAUUUAAUGCAUGAAAAAACAUAACAGAUAAUAAACACUCCUCUCAUCAGGGUGUUAACGGCCAAGUCUCUCAGAGUGGGAGAGGGGAAAAAAGGAAACAGCGUGAAUUCCCCUCAGUUGGGUAAUGACUGAAUAAAUUUUGGCAAAAUCACACCAAAAUUACUAAUGCAGCUGUUAAAAAGGAUGAAUCAAAUGACUUGGAGGAUGUCCACGAGGGACUGUUGAGUGAGAUGCAGAGAGCUGUGGCUAAUAUCCUGUUAUUGGAAGACAAAAAUGAAAACCCUGUACAUGUCUGUUGACUGUAGAUAGGUAUAUAUGGGAUUAUUUGAGCUUGGAAAAUAAUGGAAGGAGUUGUAUUAGGUUGCUAAUAUAAAAUUUCCAGAAGGAAGUCCCUUAAGGUGGGGGGCUAUGGAGACAAGAUAGAAAGGAGAUACCCAUGCAGAAAAGGAAAAGGGGAAAAAAACUUCACUUAAAAAACAAAAAGCAUGUGGGUAUGCAGCAAAAUCAUAAAUACCCUGUUCAGGAUGAAGAUUCUCUCAGGAAAGGAGGAAGGGAAGGGGAGGUGACCAGGGAAGGGGGCUUUGAUGUUUUCUGUUUUUAGUUAAAUGGUUAAAAACAAAACUAAACCCACUGUCAUUGAGUCAAUUCCAACUCAUGGCGACCCCACGUGUCUCAGUGUAGAACUGCACUCCAUGGGGUUUUCAAUGGCUGAUUUUUUAAAAGGAAACCCUGGUGGCAUAGAAGUUAAGUGCUAUUGCUGCCAACCAAAAGGUCGGCAGUUCGAAUCCCCCAGGUGCUCCUUGGAAACUCUAUGGGGGAGUUCUACACUGUCCUAUAGGAUCGCUGUGAGUCACAAUUGACUUGACAGCAGGAAGUGUUUUGGUUUUGGAUUUUUUGAAAGCCGAUCACCAGGCCUUUCUCCUGCAGAGCUGCCGGGUGGGUUCAAACCUCCAACCUUUUGGUUAACAGCUGAGGUCAAACUGUUUGCAGCACUCAGGAACCUGAUUGGUGAAAAAAAACCGUUGCUGUUGAGUCGAACUGCCCUAUAGGGUUGCCAGGGAGCGGCUGGUGGAUUUGAACUGCCGACCUUUUGGUUUGUCUCUGUAGCUCUUAACCACUGUGCCACCAGGGCUCUGAUUGGUGAAAGGCUGGCUUAUUCUUUGUUUUUAUACAUUUUAAGUAAUUUGUAAUAAAUUUUUAAAAAUUUGCGUAGUGUGCUCCCAUUUAUGGCCUUAUGAAAAAUUUAGAAAGAUACAAUAAAAUUAAACUCUCUGCCCAAGUUACCAUCAUCACUCUUCUUUCCGCCCUGAAAGUCCACCUGCAGACUCCAGGGUCUUCAUCGUUAACUGACUUCCGCCGGCAAACAUUUCCUGAGCACCUGCCUGUGGGUUUGGGGCUCAGCCAAGAUACAUCAGAUCCUGGCUCCAUCCCCUGAGCCUCCAGUCUGGCAGCGAUUUCUCCUUCCUUCCUCAUUUCCUCCACAGCGGUCCCUGGGAUCCUCCACACCAACACUUUAUAGGGCUGACAUCCUCCAUGAGGGAGGGCAUGUCGGGGAGCAGAAAGAAUGGGGCUUUUGGAGGUCCUUGCCCUCCCCGUUUAUAAUAGUAAUGGCAUUCACUGAUUUGUAUUGGGCUUUUUAAAAUUUAAUUAAUUAAUUAAUUUUUAUUGUGCUUUAAGUGAAAGUUUACAAAUCAGGUCAGUCUCUCUUACAAAAAUUUAUAUACAUCUUGCUAUACACUCCUAAUUGCUCUCCCCCUAAUGAGAAGUUUUUUUUCUUUUAAUGAGAUAGCACACUCCUUCCCUCCACUCUUUAUUUUCGUGUCCAUUCGGGCAGCUUCUGGCCCCCUUUGCCCUCUCAUCUCCCCUCCAGACAGGAGAUGCCAACACAGUCUCAUGUGUCUACUUGAUCCAAGAAGUUCGUUCUUCACCAGUAACAUUUUCUAUCCCAUGUUCCAGUCCAAUCCCUGUCUGAAGAGUUGGCUUUGGGAAUGGUUCCUAUCUUGGGCUAACAGAAGGUCUAGUUACCAUGGCCUCUGGGGUCCUUCUAGUCCCAGUCUGACCAUUAAGUCUGGUCUUUUUACGAGAAUUUGGGGUCUGAAUCCCACUGCUCUACUGCUUCCUCAGGGGUUCUCUGUUGUGUUCCCUGUCAGGGCAGUCAUCGGUUGUAGCCGGGUGUAUUGAGCUUUUACAGUAUUCCAUCGAGUCUCUGGGUAGUGCAAACAGCUAUGCAACUGACUAAUAACCAAAAGGUUGGUGGUUUGAAUCCACCCACCGUCCUCUCGGAAGAAAGGGCUUGGCGAUCUGCUUCUGAAAGGUCACAGCUGGAAAACCCUAUGGAAUGCAGUUCUGCACUGACACACAGUUCUCUGCACAAGUGGGGUUGCCAUGAGUCGGAAUCGACUCCUCGGUAACUGGUAACCACAUGCCAUGCACUGUUCUGAGUGUUGUACACAUAUCGAUUGUUUCAACUCUCACCCCGUCUCCGUGAAUAGGAAUCAUUAUUGCCCCAUUUCACAAAUAGGAAAGCAGAGGUCAAGGUAUUUGCCCAAGGUCAUAGAACUUAUAACUGGCAGACAGGCUUUAAACUUCAGACAGACUCGUGCAAGAGCCCAUACUCUUGACCACUGUAUUGGUCUCUGUCUUUGGAUGUGUCUCCUGUCUGCAUAUUGAACUAUUCACUUUGUGUGUGUGUAUGUGUUUGUCUUAGUUAUCUAGUGCUGCUAUAACAGAAAUACCACAAGUGAAUAGCUUUAACAAACAAAUUUAUUCUCCCACAGAAGUCCAAAUUCAGGGUGCCAGCUCCAGGGGAAAGCUGUCCCUCUCUGUUGGUUCUGGGGGAAGGUCCUUGUCAUCAAUCUUCCCUGGUCUAGGAGCUUCUCAGUGCAGGGACCCCAGAUCCAAAGGACACACUUUGCUCCCGGUAUUUCUUUCUUGGUGGCAAGAGAUUCCUGUCCUCAUUGCUUGCUUCUCUUAUAUCUCAAAAGAGAUUGACUCAGGAUACAACCUAAUCCUGUAGAUUGAGUCCUCCCUCAUUAACAUAACUGCCUCUAAUCCUGCCUCAUUAACAUCAUAGAGGUUAGAAUUUACAACACAUGGGAUAAUCACAUCAGAUCACAAAAAGGUGGACAACCACACAAUACUGGGAAUCAUGGCCUAGCCAAGUUGACAUACAUUUUUGGGGGACACGAUUCAAUCUAUAAACAGUGCAUGUGUGGUAAAAUACACAUAAAAUUUACCAUUAGUGAUAUUUAGUACAUUCACAGUGUUGUGCAAACAUCACCACUGUCUACUUCCAGAACAUUCUCAUCACCCCAAACGGAAACCCUGUGCCUCUUAAAUGAACUCUUCACUUUCGAUGGGAUCCUUGGGUGGUACAAAUGGUUAAGCACUAGGCUACUAAUCAAAAGGUCGGUGGUUCAAAUCCAUCCGGAGGUGCCUCAGAUGAAAGGCCUGGCAAUCUGCUUCCAAAAGAUUACAGCCAUUGAAAACCCUAUGGAGUGCAGUUCUCUUCUGCACACAUGGGGUCUCCACGAGUCGGAAUAGACUUGACAGCAACUGGUUAACUGGUUUCACUUUUGAUAUGAUUUUUCUGUGGAGGUUUAGAGGAAUGCCACAGUCCCAUGGGUGAGGAGAGCUCUCCGCUGAAGGACAAGGACAUUCUAGGGCCCUUUAGCUUGGGUGGAAACCCUGGUGGCAUAGUGGUUAAGAGUUAUGUUUGCUAACCAAAAGGUCAGCCGUUUGAAUCCACCAAUUGCCCCUUGGAAACUCUAUGGGGCAUUUCUACUCUGGAAUUGACUUGAUGGCAAUGGGCUUGGUUUUGGGGUUUUUAGCUGGGGCAGCCAUGUUAAGCUGUCAUCAUGCUUUAUUUUCUUUCAUCAUCGCUCCCAGAGAGCACGCGUAUCACAGAUGUUACAGGUGUAGGCUGUGAUGCACGCUGAACUGUUUAUGGGUGAAAUGUGAUGUCUGGGGUUUGCGUUAAAACAUCUCAGCACAAUAACAAGGGAGAGAGGAAAGCAGAAAAUAGGAAGGGGGGAAGGAGAGAGAAAGGGAGGAGAAGAAGGGAGGAAGGGAAGAAGAAGGAGAGGAAGAGAAGGAGAGAGGGUGGAAAGGAGGAGGGGGGAAGGAAAGAACGAGAUCACUGGCAAAAUGUGGAUAAUUGUUGACGCUGGAGGACUGACAGCCAGGAGUUCAUUUUACUAUUCUCUCUACCUUUGUGUACAUUUGGAUGUUUCCUUAAUAUUUAAAAGGAAAAAAUAGCAUGCUCUAGGGUCAGACAGAAUGCUGCCACUUACUGGCAAUCCUUUAUCUUGCCUGAUCUUCAGUCUCCUCCUCUAUACGGUGCAGAUGGUAACACUACAGUUAUCAUGAUUAUUAACAACCCUGGGAGGUAGCUACUUCCAUCUGUUGAAAGCUUAGGAUGUGCUGAGCCUUCAUUUUACAAAAGAACCCAGUGCCCUCAAGUACGAACCUGUAAAACGGGACUAGUAGGAGAAGUAGUACAGAGCCCUGGUGGCACAGUGGUUAAGAGCUACGGCUGCUAAUCAAAAGGUCGGCAGUUCAAAUCCACCAGCCACUCCUUGGAAACCCCAUGGGGCAGUCCUAGUCUGUCCUACAGGGUCGCUAUGAGUCGGAGUCGACUUGAUGGCAAUGGGUGUUUUUUUUUUUUUUUGAUUUAGGAGUAGUAGUAGUGUCUGAACCUGUCUAACUUUGUGGGAGACAAUGAGAACCACCAUCAGCACAAAGCUGAUUCCCAUGAGGUGGAGGUCAGACGUACCUCCAUUCGGCAAUCUUUUCUAUCAAUUCUGACGCCAGCCGUCCCUCUCACAGUACUCUCUGCUUCUCUUCUGGGUUCAAUCAUCCGUUGCAAUGGCCACAUAGAACUCAUAGACCAUACAUACAGUUAAGUGGUUUAUUAAGUAAGUAACAGGGUACAAUUCGGGAUCAGGAUCAACAGGGUACAACUCAGGGUCAGAAUCGGGAAGCACGUAGGCAAAGUCUGGAAGACUCUCCUAAAGUGAAGAGAACAUCCCUCCUUUUUCAGUGCAGAACUGAUCUGUCAGCUCCUCUGGGCCAUGCAGGUCUCUCUCCCUCCCUCCCUCCCUCUCUCUCUCUCUCUCCACAGGCUCCUUUUGGCCCUGCCAUCUGUUGCCACCGGUUCUGCUGCUGGGCCUCUCCUGGGCCGCUCACUGUCUUCAGUGUUACAGCUCUUGACCAUGUUACAGCUCUUUUAGGAGGUUCCUUGCCUUCUCUCUCUCUGCUUCUUCUCUCUUCUUUCUGCUUCUUCCUGCUGCUUCUCUUCCUGCUUCCUUCUGUCUGAAAAACCUCUGUGAGUUUGGCUGAUUAUAUACACAACUCUUUGUCAGUUUCAAGGCACAGUCCCUCCCAGUGAGGGGGAGCACAAACUGGCCAACCCCCUCUUGGAAGGCCACAGACUCUUCAUUUGCAUAGUAGGCUAUAGUCACCUGAUUUGCACAGCCUAUUGACCAGUCCUUGCAAGGUGCAUACCAAUCACAGGGCAGGUUGCAACCCAGGACCAGACAAAAGUAUCAAACCCAGCUUACCCAGGAAAUGUCAAUCACCCUGGACAAAAGUUAUAAACCCUCUGCAGUAGAAAACUAGGGCAAAGGUAACUGCUCAGGGCUUAGGAGAAAAAUCUCUCGAAAUGUUUUUCCAAAGCACAAAGGCAAAAAGCCACAUAAAGGAAUUCAUUUCACAACAGUACCUUACAAUAAUACCUUGCCAUAAUGUGAAGUUGAACCAUUAUUAUUUCCCUUUACAAAUGAGAUCACAAGGCUCAGAUAGGUUAUGAGACUUGUCCAAGGCCACACAGCAGAUAAAUUGUGACUCCACACUAUAAAUCCAGGUCUGUUUAAGUCCAAAGACCUUAACCACCAACCUAUCUAGGGCAGCAAUUUGAGCUAUUUGAUUCUACCCCCAACUCUGCCGUCAAUUUCCUUUGUGACCUUGUCAGGAUAGGCCAGGUAAUGCUGAAGUAACACACAGCCCCAACAUCUUGGUGGCUUACAAUGCAUCAAAGUUUAUUUCUCAUUCAAAUUACAUGUCCACUGGGUGUUUGCCGUGGCCCUGCUCCACAUUGCCUUCGCUCCAGAUGAGGAAACUGGGGCUGAGAGAAAGGAAGGGACCUACUCAAUGUCAUCAUUAUGAGAGACCAGUGGCCUUUCAGCCCCAUCUUCAUCUUUCUCUGCUUGGUAAUGCUGGGGCUGAAAGCUACAUUUUCCAGGCUCCUUUGCCACCUGACUUCUGCAAAGGAACCCUCUCUGGAACCUUCUGGUCAUCAUGGAAGAGAGAGAAGAGUCACAGCAAACUACUUGCCAGCUCUUAAAGCUUCUACCCAGAAUCGAUUCAUGUUGCUUCUGCCCACAUUUCAGAGUCCCUGCAAAGCUGUUCCAUCCUUUUAACACUGGGCAUGGUGACCUUCAAAUCCACGUGGACCAUGAAUCAAUAGACGAGUCUAGCUACUUGCUGUGGACUCAGAGGUUCCUACCCCUCAUCUGCAAAAUGCCCUCGUAGGAAUUAUACGCCUCAUUAGAUGAGGCAUUGUUUGAAUCAACAAGAUAAAUUAUGUGAAACACCCACCCAGUGCUAGCUAGAAAUAUUAUCUUCUUCCCUGUUUUCUUUAAGUGACAUUCUACUAUUAAACUACUAUUGGCAACGUUUCAUUCUGUUGUACACAGGUCGCCGUGAGUUGGAGUUCACUAAAUGGCAACCAUCUACCUAUCUGUCUAAUCUGUCUGUCCAUCUGUCCAUCCAUCAGUCCAUCCAUCCAUCCAUCUAUCUAUGCUCUUUUAGAACCUGUCAUUCCCCACCAAGAGUAGAACCUGUUCCCCCCACCCUUGAACCUGGGCAGACUUUUGUGACUGCCUUGAUGGAUAGAAUGUGGCAGGCGCAAUACUGCCUGUCUUCUGAGACUAGGUCAUAAAAGGUGCUGCGACUUCUCUCAGGAUGCUUGCCCAAGAGCAUCUGUCGCUGAGUGACAAAUUACUGCAAAGUCCACAGCUUAUGAGAGCACUCAUUUAUUAUCUCACAAUUCUGUAGGUCAAAAUCUGGAUGGCCUCAACUGGAGGUCUCUGCUCAGGGUCUCAGGGGGCUGAAAUCAAGGUGGUGGCUGGGCUGGGCUCUUAUCUAGGGCUCUGGGUCCUCUUCCAAGCUCAUUCAGGUUUUUAGAAAAAUUCAAUUCUUUGUGGUUGUAGGACUGAAGUCCCCAUUGGCUGUUGGCCAGGGGCCAUCCUCAGCCCCUAGAAGCCACCCUUGGGUCCUUUCCACAUGACCCGCUCCACUUUCAAGUCAGCAAUGAUACACCGAAUCCCUUUCAUGCUUUAAGUAUCUCUGACUUCUCUUCUGCUACCAGCCAGAGAAAACUAUGUUUUUAAAGGGCUUAUGUGAUUAGAUUAAACCCACUGGCUAAGUUCCCUUUUGAUUAAAGACAACCGAUUAGUCACUUAGGGUUUUAAUUAUAUCUGCAAAAGGCCUUUUGCCACGUAACAUAACAUAAUCAUUAGUUUGAUAUUUCAUCAUAGUCACAGUCCCAAGAAUUAGGAUGAGAAAUCUUGGGGGUUCAUUUUUUUUCUUAUUGUGCUUUAGAUGGAGUUUUACAGAGCAAAUUAGUUUCUCAUUAAACAAUGAAUACACAUAUUGUUUUGUGACAUUAGUUGCCAACCCCAUGACAUGUCAACACUCUCCGCAUCUCAACCUUGGGUUCCUGUUACCAGCUUUCCUGUCUUGUGGGGUUAUUUUUGAAUUACGUCUACCAUAAACCCAGAGGUCACACUGUGAGGAAACUCAGGCCAUGUGGAGAGGCCACAUGUGGGUGCCACAGCUAUGGUCCAAACCAACUGCCAAGUGAGUAAACCUUCACAUGAGUCCACCUGUGACCGUCUAGCCUUCCAGCUGAUGAUCCGGACAUACUGGGUCAGACACAAGCCAUCUCCACUGUGCUCUGUGUGAAUUCCUGAUUCAUGCCCCUGAAUUAAUAAGUGAUUGCUUUAAGACACUAAGUUUUGGUUUCCUUCUUUUGCUUUCCCAGCCCUUCCAACACAGUGUCGGUAAUUCCCUGAAUUAAAUGCCCUCUAUUGAAACACCUGGAGCCCUGGUGGCGCAGUGGUCAAGAGCUACAGCUGCUAACAAAAAGGUACAACAGAAGGAAGCGUUGCCCAGCCCUGCAUCAUCCUCAUGAUCUCAGGCAUGUUCAAGUCCAUGGCUGCAGCUGUUACGCCCAUUCAUCUCACCACGGGUCUCCCCCGCCCUUGCUGGCUCUCCGCUUCACCCAACGUGAUGUCAUAUUCCAGCUGGUGAUACAGCAAACGGAUCCUCUUCUGCCUCACAGAAUGGUCCUUGCUGAUGUGGCUUCUAACAAAGGAACCUUCUGGAACUCAGAGAAUGCUGCUCCAUCCAGGGAUGACCACCUCUCACCUCUAAAACUGCUUGUCAUUCCCUUCAGUUGCCUCACUUAAUAACCUGUUGCCUUGGAAAAUACUAUUUCAAUUAACAUCUCUUUUCUGGAGGGCGAAAAUGAUUGUGAAUGCUCUUUGGUAAGCCCAAAGAAGCCGAUUGGCAAAUCUCUCUUCUUUCACAAACAAGGAAGUGAAGAAAAGAAAAGAAAACACACACACACAGUCUGUCGGAUUCCUUAUUUAAACAGAGUUCAGAGCGCUGAUCUCACUUACAUAACAGGAUGCUUGGGUUUGGAAAUGUGUGCACCUCUGUGAGUGGGUUUUGGGUACUGGGAUAUACAAGUGGACAUUGGUGGUUGUGUGGAUGUGUGCCAGUGGGAUUGUCUGACUCUCAGCACGUCCUAGGUGCUGUGUGUGUGUGCACAUGAAUGAUUGCACUUCCUGGGAGCACUGUGGGGUGGGGGUGUGCUGGGAACACAUAGGAUUGGGAAGAGCAUGUGGGAUCCAGGGAUUGGACAGAGGGUAGGGUUUCAGGAAGACAGGGUUCAGAGCACCUGGCUGUGUGGGAAGAGCCUGGAACUUGCAUUCAGGAAUGGCAGUGAGAUGAAAUCCAUACUGCUCUGGGCCCAGGGUGGUAUUUGCUGGCAGCUGGCAGACCUCUGACGUAGCACAGACCUUCAGGAUUUGAGGACCCCCUGCAGAAACAGAUCAGACUCCCUCCUGGUCAGAGCCUGGUCUCCCAACUUGAUGUGGGUAUUUCUUAAAGUUCUGUCUCUCUUAGCAGCCUCUCUUGGUAGUUCUACAUGAUUCGUUUUCAAAUCUUCCUGAUUAGUUUUGGCAACCUCUUAUUGCCUGCUCAGAAGCCCCUGGGUGGCACAAAUGUUUAAGUGCUCAGCUACUAAUCAAAAGGUUGGUGGCUUGAAUCCACCCAGAGGUACCUCAGCAGAAUGGCCUUGCAAUCUGCUUCUGAAAGAUCACAGCCUUUGAAAGUCCUAUGAAGCACAGUUCUACUCUGACACAUAACUCAGUGGCAGCUCGUUUUUGUGAUUAUAACUUUAUUCCUUCAAAUAUAUCACAUAUAUAUAUAUAUUAUAUA